RNAcentral lists this ribosomal RNA (328 nucleotides) under uncultured Lachnospiraceae bacterium. Its description in RNAcentral is "partial 16S ribosomal RNA". Lineage: Bacteria; Bacillati; Bacillota; Clostridia; Lachnospirales; Lachnospiraceae. The record is from RNAcentral.
GGAGUUUGGGCCGUGUCUCAGUCCCAAUGUGGCCGUUCAACCUCUCAGUCCGGCUAUUGAUCGUCGCCUUGGUGGUCCGUUACACCGCCAACCAGCUAAUCAAACGCGGGUCCAUCUCAUAGCGAUAAAUCUUUUCCCCCUCUGCCAUGCGGCAAUGUGGGCUUAUGCGGUAUUAGCAGCCGUUUCCAGCUGUUGUCCCCCUCUAUGAGGCAGGUUACCCACGCGUUACUCACCCGUCCGCCACUAAACUUUCAUCCUCUUCGACGAAUCUCCAAGGAAUCAGUCCCCGUUCGACUUGCAUGUGUUAGGCACGCCGCCAGCGUUCAUC